CUUGGGGAAGUAGGUAAAGAAUAGAUGCUAAAUCUGUCAGGUCCGAAAGGAAGCAGCAGGAGUGUUGAUUUCUUGUAGCUACUUCCCCAUUUUU
Molecule: signal recognition particle RNA, 94 nt
Filed under: Candidatus Babeliales bacterium
Lineage: Bacteria; Candidatus Babeliae; Candidatus Babeliales
Description: signal recognition particle sRNA small type
Rfam family: Bacterial small signal recognition particle RNA
About the family: The signal recognition particle (SRP) is a universally conserved ribonucleoprotein involved in the co-translational targeting of proteins to membranes. Archaeal SRP consists of a 7S RNA and homologues of the eukaryotic SRP19 and SRP54 proteins.
Source: RNAcentral